Triticum aestivum (bread wheat) is the source of this 1321-nucleotide long non-coding RNA. RefSeq lists it as uncharacterized. The record is from RefSeq and is a predicted model, not a curated record. NCBI's taxonomy places the organism in Eukaryota, Viridiplantae, Streptophyta, Magnoliopsida, Poales, Poaceae. The transcript is spliced from 5 exons.
CACCGCUCCCCACGUUCUCCCAUGACCUAUCCAUCUCUCCCGAUUCGACCUGGAAUACAUCCCACGAUCCCCCACACAGCACGGAGGGAAAACAGCCCGAAGUUCCUCGCGAUAGCCCUUGCUGCGCGUCGAUGGUGCCGCAUCGCCGCCCCACGAUUCAGACCGGCGCCUCACCGUGCCCUCAUCCGAGCCUUCUCUCCACGCUCCACCGCUUCUCCAGGCGCCAAUAUCUGGGGCUCUCCGCAAUGCCCGAUGCUCCGGCGGUGAGCCGUACUGCAGUAGGGAGGAGGAGCCGGCGGCAGACAGAGAAGUACAUGGAGGUGGUGGUGGAAGGGAAGGGGACGGGGACAUAAUCGAGGGCGAGCAAGGCACCAAUGUCGUACAGUCCAAACUCAUCUGGGACAUGUGUCCAGUCCACCAUCUCGCUCGCCUGGGAGACCGCCCAACUUGAUUAAAUAUGUUAUCUUGCCCAAUACUUUCCUCAUGUGGCUGUUAUGACGAGCACCUUUCUUUGUGGCGGUGAUGUAUUAAAUAAUCUCUAACAAAUUAAUACGCUUAAAUGGUGAUGCCACUGCUCAAAUCCAAACACUGAAGAACGCAUAUAUAUUGCAUGGUCUGCCAUCGGAGCACCUUUGGAGGAAGAAGUUCACCUCAAGCCAUCGGAGUGAAAUUCUCAUUGCCAUAACCAGCUUUCACAGGGAAGCAUAAGGGUCAAAAGAGUGAGGACCUUAACGCGCAAUAGCGUGGACCAGUGGACGAGGAUGAUAUCAUGGAGUCAGGAGAAAGGCUUGUUGGAAGUAGAAUAUAAUGAGGCAAUGUUAUGUUCUUUUUUCUAUUAAUUAACUUUACAGUGAUAUGUGUUGAAAGCCUGAAAGUGUAGGCCAUACCAAGGUUGAUGACAUCAAAAUGAUGUAAACAAUUAUCCAUCUCUUGAUUCAUUGCAGAUCUGAAAUUUGGAAAAGGCAAUAUUAAUCUUCCCCACUAAAUGGUUGUAUUAUGCCCCCAGUAUCAAUGAGUCCUGGUUUACAAAGAGUCGGACUCACAGACGUUGAUCCAAGCACUCAAUGCCGGUGAUUUUUAUGUGGCGGAUUAUGGUGUACUACCUCAUAAUGUGAGGAGUACCUGCAUGGCGACCGUCUGAUAGGCAUGAGUUUAUCUUUUGCUGUUUUCAUGUAAUUCUGUUGCCCAUGCCAUAGCGAAAUUUGGGUACCAUUCGGCUACGGCUUCUAUAUUCUGGCUAGAGUCUAACCCAGACUUUGUAUCAAUUUUGGUUGCCAAUGACUCUGCUGAGCUUCUUGGUUAAUGAAAUCAUUUGAAAAUA